GGAGAGGUGCCGGAGUGGUCGAUCGGGGCGGUCUCGAAAACCGUUGUAGGGGUGACUCUACCGUGGGUUCGAAUCCCACCCUCUCCG
RNAcentral lists this transfer RNA (87 nucleotides) under Albimonas pacifica. It matches the Rfam family "tRNA". From Rfam's summary of the family: Transfer RNA (tRNA) molecules are approximately 80 nucleotides in length. Their secondary structure includes four short double-helical elements and three loops (D, anti-codon, and T loops). Lineage: Bacteria; Pseudomonadati; Pseudomonadota; Alphaproteobacteria; Rhodobacterales; Paracoccaceae. The record is from Rfam by way of RNAcentral.